This 451-nucleotide ribosomal RNA is filed under the name uncultured organism. RNAcentral's name for it is "partial 16S ribosomal RNA". It matches the Rfam family "Bacterial small subunit ribosomal RNA", at positions 331 to 798 of the family's 1533-position model. The record is from RNAcentral.
GUACACUCCUACGGGAGGCAGCAGUGGGGAAUAUUGGACAAUGGGCGCAAGCCUGAUCCAGCCAUGCCGCGUGAGUGAUGAAGGCCCUAGGGUUGUAAAGCUCUUUCACCGGUGAAGAUAAUGACGGUAACCGGAGAAGAAGCCCCGGCUAACUUCGUGCCAGCAGCCGCGGUAAUACGAAGGGGGCUAGCGUUGUUCGGCUUUACUGGGCGUAAAGCGCACGUAGGCGGACUAUUAAGUCAGGGGUGAAAUCCCGGGGCUCAACCCCGGAACUGCCUUUGAUACUGGUAGUCUUGAGUUCGAGAGGGGGGAGUGGAAUUCCGAGUGUAGAGGUGAAAUUCGUAGAUAUUCGGAGGAACACCAGUGGCGAAGGCGGCUCACUGGCUCGAUACUGACGCUGAAGUGCGAAAGCGUGGGGAGCAAACAGGAUGAGAUACCCCAGUAGUCCCAU